UUUAUCGGAGAGUUUGAUCCUGGCUCAGGACGAACGCUGGCGGCGUGCCUAAUACAUGCAAGUCGAGCGGACAGAUGGGAGCUUGCUCCCUGAUGUUAGCGGCGGACGGGUGAGUAACACGUGGGUAACCUGCCUGUAAGACUGGGAUAACUCCGGGAAACCGGGGCUAAUACCGGAUGCUUGUUUGA
This 188-nucleotide ribosomal RNA is filed under the name Bacillus atrophaeus. RNAcentral describes it as "partial 16S ribosomal RNA". It matches the Rfam family "Bacterial small subunit ribosomal RNA", at positions 1 to 184 of the family's 1533-position model. The record is from RNAcentral. Lineage: Bacteria; Bacillati; Bacillota; Bacilli; Caryophanales; Bacillaceae.